RNAcentral lists this ribosomal RNA (253 nucleotides) under uncultured bacterium. RNAcentral describes it as "partial 16S ribosomal RNA". It matches the Rfam family "Bacterial small subunit ribosomal RNA", at positions 524 to 776 of the family's 1533-position model. The record is from RNAcentral.
UACGAGGGGUGCGAGCGUUGUUCGGAAUCACUGGGCGUAAAGGGUUCGUAGGCGGAGGCGCAAGCCAGUCGUUUAAUUCCGGGGCCCAACCCCGGGCUUGCGAUUGGAACUGCGUCUCUUGGAUGGUUCAGGGGCAGGCGGAACUCCCGGUGUAGCGGUGGAAUGCGUAGAUAUCGGGAAGAACACCAAUGGCGAAGGCAGCCUGCUGGGAACACAUCGACGCUGAGGAACGAAAGCGUGGGGAGCAAACAGG